ACGAACGCUGGCGGCGUGCUUAACACAUGCAAGUCGAACGGAAAGGCCCUGCUUUUGUGGGGUGCUCGAGUGGCGAACGGGUGAGUAACACGUGAGUAACCUGCCCUUGACUUUGGGAUAACUUCAGGAAACUGGGGCUAAUACCGGAUAGGAGCUCCUGCUGCAUGGUGGGGGUUGGAAAGUUUCGGCGGGUGGGGAUGGACUCGCGGCUUAUCAGCUUGUUGGUGGGGUAGUGGCUUACCAAGGCUUUGACGGGUAGCCGGCCUGGGAGGGUGACCGGCCACAUUGGGACUGAGAUACGGCCCAGACUCCUACGGGAGGCAGCAGUGGGGAAUAUUGCACAAUGGGCGGAAGCCUGAUGCAGCAACGCCGCGUGCGGGAUGACGGCCUUCGGGUUGUAAACCGCUUUCGCCUGUGACGAAGCGUGAGUGACGGUAAUGGGUAAAGAAGCACCGGCUAACUACGUG
This 467-nucleotide ribosomal RNA is filed under the name uncultured bacterium. RNAcentral's name for it is "partial 16S ribosomal RNA". It matches the Rfam family "Bacterial small subunit ribosomal RNA", at positions 29 to 507 of the family's 1533-position model. The record is from RNAcentral.